Molecule: small nuclear RNA, 109 nt
Organism: Cercocebus atys (sooty mangabey)
Lineage: Eukaryota; Metazoa; Chordata; Mammalia; Primates; Cercopithecidae
Source: Ensembl
GUGCUCGCUUCGGCAGCACAUAUACUAAAAAAAUUGGAACGUUCAGAGAAGUUUAGCAUAGUCCCUGCACAAGGAUGAUAUGCAAAUUCAUGAAGUGUUCCAUAUUUUA